CGGCCCCGUAGUCACGUGAUGCGCGCUGUGCACGCGCCUGACCGCGCGGAGUUCGCUCUGGGGUGCUUCAGCAGUGUGCCAGUGAAUCCUCGGGACAAGGCGCCAAAGUGUCCACCCACCCCACUUGGAAGGGCUGGGCAAAGGUUGCACGUGGCUCGUCAAGCCGGCCUUGCCUCGGAAACUCCACCAGUGAUGCGGCUGCCCACGGUGGCCUGCUCUGGGUGCUUAGGGUGUGUGAGUUGCCUCACCCCCCCACCUCCACCCCCCGGCUUGUCGAAAACCGCGCCCUAUCAUUGGAGCCGAGGGAAAGAGGGGUGUCCAUUUGGGGACCCAGUGUGACCCGCGACUGGCGGUAGCUGCGGGGAGGGCACGCUCUAGCUCCUGCGUUUACCAAGGGCCAGGGACUUUAAUGGGUACAGUUCCACCCACUUUGCAAAUUAGGAAAUUGAGGCUUCCCGGCAGGUUAAACCAAGUGGUCCUGCGCGACGAGAAAGAAGUUGAGAUUUGGAGGCAAGCCUUAUUCAGAGGCCGGUCUUUUCUCAUGCAUAGCAGGACAAUGAAGAAAGAGCAGCCCUCCCCACCGUUCCAGGUUAGACAUUUACUCUCAAGCUUAGACUCAUCUUCCUCUCUUCCUUCUUUGCUCUGACAAACCUGGAGCGCCGACAGGUCGCCACACACUUUUUAAGGGGAGAGAGAGAGCACGGAGCUCGGGUGCCAGCAAGGGAGCCAGACACACGCAGAGAAGGACUAUGUCGGGUUGUGUUUGUCACUGAGUGACCACCCCUAGGGUGGGCGGCCACAAAGGGAGGAGACCUUUGAACAAUGACUUCAUACACAAGCAGCCCUGAGAGGAUAGGGUCAGAGACCACCAGGAAAAGCCACUGGAGUCAGUUCCGCUCCCCAGUGCUCGGCCUGCGUUCGGUUAGAAGGACCCGUCCAUCCACUGUGGCAGAGAAGCGCCAGGCCUGGCUUUUGGAGCUGAGUCCCCAGCCUCCCUACCUGUUUUCAAUGAGAUGGAAAUCAGGUGCACGUUGCCCAGCUUCUCACGUGACCUCUCUCUAAAUAAGCAGUAAGCAACUGCAAAACUCAGAAUGCUAAUAAUGGCCUAUAUUGAGUGAAAAGAGCUAAUUUGGGCAAUGAUGUUUCCCUCGGAUUUACAAAAGGGAAUUGCAAAUAACCAAACAGUAAUAGCACUGAUGGGAGAUGAUGCUAAACUUCAAUCAGCACCCGCGUUAGUUAUUCACAUAUUUAGAAGGGAACCUUUUCGACACAGUGGCUGCGCACACGCGUUACGGUGACAGGGUAUGAACAUGGUGGUCAUCCUUGAGGUGUGACAGCCCCAGAAGGAUCUGCAGGAGCUACUGUAGACCAGGUCAUUUCAGGCCUGCUGAGGAGAACAGUGCUCUCCUCAGCCUGGAAGGCCCAACAGUAGUGGAGGACACUACUGUGAUUUGGGCCUAAAGUUUCAUUCAGAGGUGGAAACAAACGGAAGGAAAUUCAGCCACAGGGCACCGCUGCUCCUGAAGAAAUGAAUGUUUUCCUCCCAGAACUGAAUUACUGGUGUGCUGGGACUGGCAAAGACCAUGGAGGCCUGCUAAAGGAUGCUGCCCUCUGUGUGGUGAUGUACCCAAAUUUACCGUCAGCAAAGACCGAGCAGAUGGGGCUAUCUAGUCGUGGACUUCAACACUCCCAAACUGUAAGCUGUAUAAGCCUCUCUUCUGUAUAGACAGAUUCCAGCCUCAGAAAACAGAUAAUGGGUGCAUGGAGGAGACAGAAUGGAUGUGGUAUGAGACUGGAGGAGAGGUCACAUGAAGGAACCCCUUCCGGGGAGAAUCAAGUGGAUCAUGACUUCACAGGAAGUCCCAUUCUCCCAGGACAUAGGCACUAAAGCAGAGAAGUGCGGGUGUUGUCCAGGACUGGCUCUGCCAGCUAUCUUGGAGCUACAGUGGCAGCAGAGCCUCUGUACCCUUCAGGGUCAUUGACUUCUCUCCACUCUGCAGACCUGAGAUGUCUGCAGACAGAAAUGUGGAUAGUCUUCCCUGAUUGCCUUGGGCUGCAGAACCCCAAGGGACAAGAUAUUGGCACCAAGGACUCUGAUGUCACUCAUCCCCUGGGCACACUGACAGUGGCUGUGGUACACAGCAGGAAACUGCUUCAUAAUAGUCCCAGUGGCCCCUCUGCUGACUCUGGAUCACCCUGAACCAAGCCUUUCCACGUUCCAGGCUGACUUCUCUUCCAGGAUGGAAUUCCUGACCUUGCUGGCCAGGGCUAGGGCAGUGGGGGGGGGGGGCAGAUGAGAAAGGGCAUUGGAUAAUCCAGAGAGGUCUGCACCCUCUCCCAGAGAACCACUCCCCUUACCUGGUGAGGAGUCACUUGUCCCCAUCCCCCAUCAGGAAAGACUUGAAAAACCAGAAAAUGAGAGUGCCAAGAUGAACCAUCACAUUGUGUUAAUAUUUUCACACCACUUAACUCUCAUUAAAAUGUACUUUGCUGAAUUUAAUAUGUGAUUUCAAAUGACACAACAUAUUAAGUGCUUAAUAUACUAGAAAUUAUGAAACUAUUAUAGUCGAUGCCAUAUGAAAUAAUUAGAGUGAAUUAAACUUUAGCAGCCGAGUGAAGGCAAGGCUUCAACUUAUAAUAUCUGCAAGUCGCUCAAGCCACCGCUGUAAUCCCCCAAAUAAAUGUCCAGAAAUUAGGCUCUUUAAAUAAAAACUGAAUUUCAUGUGUAUUUACACCACAA
This 2740-nucleotide long non-coding RNA is filed under the name Cricetulus griseus (Chinese hamster). Its description in RNAcentral is "lncRNA (ENSCGRG00015021073.2)". Lineage: Eukaryota; Metazoa; Chordata; Mammalia; Rodentia; Cricetidae. The record is from RNAcentral.